This 2245-nucleotide long non-coding RNA is filed under the name Malus domestica (apple). RNAcentral's name for it is "long non-coding RNA (MDOM_LNC002020)". Lineage: Eukaryota; Viridiplantae; Streptophyta; Magnoliopsida; Rosales; Rosaceae. The record is from RNAcentral.
CACCAGUGAUCAUUUCGGAUCUUUAAGACGAAUAUUGACUUCCGUUUAAGUUCGUUCUAAAGUAGAUUAUUAGCAAAUUCCUUUUUCUGGCCUUAGGGUGUCUCAACCAAUACUAGUUCCUAAAAUUUCUUUUGGUGAUGUACUUGUCAUUUCGAUGAGUAUAGGCACCGAAGUACAGGUUGUUAUACCUAUGGUCAGUAGAAAUCCCCGAAGUAGUAAAUAUUUUCCUUAGAAUUAAUGAAACAACCUCCUAGGACCAAUUCCUUACCAAUCAUCAGAAACCACUUACCCGAGCAGACUCUAACCUGUAAUCAGCCUACGGUGGCACUACUAUUUGACAAUACUGUCCGAUAUCCAGAAGCUGUCAACCAGUAUUCAAACGGUAUGAUUUCUGAUACCGGACACAUGUCCUAGUAUCUAGGAGUGAUACAUUUACGCUAGAACGUUGGUUCAUAGUUUCAGGGUAACAAACAAUAUCAAAGAUAUCAAAAGUAUCAUAUAUGCGUUAAUUAGCAACAUGAUUGAUAGACUGAUUAACAGUGAUUAACGGAGUCGAAGAAAUUUAAAUUGUGGAAACUUAGGAGCAAGCAUUUUAGGAGGACAGUAAACUCGUAGUUGUGUUAAUUAUUUUACCCAUCUAGGUAACCAGAACAUUCUCGACCAUUCAUCCUUGUAGUCACUUCCACUGACAAACAUUAGAAUUGAAGCAUGAGUUAAUUUUCUGUUGUAAGAGUAAUUUGAGUGUCGAUAAUGCUGUGAAGACCUUUCAGCAUGUGGCAUAGUGAAAGGAAGUAGUAUGGUACAUUUCGAGAACUUAUAUCCCUAGCGUCAUUUCUCAAAAUUUUACCUGGGAUAUAACCAAAUGGUGAAGUGAAGUACAUAAUCGAUCCACUUUCUCGUAUCCUUACAUCUUUUCGAACAAGUCUUUCAUUAUUGAGAGAACCUAGUUACUAAAGCUUAUCUAUUAGGAAUCUACCCAACCAAACACUUUAUCUAGGGAAUCUCAAACCUAUCCGUUAAGACGAAAGACCAAACCUUAGGAUCGUACCUAGAUUUUAGCAACCCAACCGGCUGAUGAUUAAAACCGUUAGCCUCUACUUUGAGUUGAUGGUCUCUUCAACCAACUUUUAGAACCCGAGUUCUCUUCCAUAACCUGACGAGUUUGUAGUAGCCUUGUUGACGACUUUCUUAUCUACUUUAGCAGUGAAAUCUAUUCUCUAUACACCGACAGUUAGCUUUACACCAAAUUUCUCAAAUAUUACCUUCGUUUAGUUGGUACUUUUCUUAGGAGACAUAAUCUCAGCAGACGACAUUCUUGUUAAUUUCUAAAAAGGUUGCAAAUGUAGAAAACUUCAUAUUCCAUAAAUCGUUGUGAAAUAUGCCAUAUCCUUGGCCUUGUUUGUUUUAUCGGCAGUUUAUUAGUGACUUUCUGAGGUGGUGCUUUUCCUUUUAUGUUGGCCAAGGAAAAAUCAGUUUAGCUGAGAUGUGGGAUAUGAUUGAAGUUGCGACAACUAAGGUGUUGUCUAUUUCCUACCCUUGUUCAUGCACCUUUCGAUAAAAUCUAUUUGUACCAUACUUAGGGCCUCCAUAUUUAGACCUCGUAUAAAUACUCGGGGGAUUCAAAUGUAAUUAUGUAAUAAAUGAAGGGGCAAAUAUGUAAUAAGUGAGGAGCCCUUAUUCUAUAAAAAGAAUCCUCACUCUUCUAAUUAGGGGAGGCCAAGUUUUAGGCCAAGAUAGAGGUUAAGGCUCAGGCCAUAGAAAAUGGGCUAGAGAGAAAAUAGGCUAGAGAGCACACUGCCUCUAGCCUUCUUGUAUAUUCACCAUUCAGAGUGAAACAAUAUCAACAUCAGUGUGGACGUAGCCCAAACAUUGGGGUGAACCACGAUACAUCUUGUGUUCUUUACUUUCUUGCAGAUUCACAGUCGGAUUUACGUUGUUCCAAGACCCUUCCGGUUUUGUGCAUCAACAUUUGGCGCCGUCUGUGGGAAUCGACACAAAAAACUAUGUCGGUUCUUUUUCAUUUUUUCAUCAAAUUUCACCACUAUCCACCGUGGAUCUGCAAAACCAAGAGAUAGCCCAUCUUUCUCUCCCUCCAACCCCACAUUCAUUGGGAAAUUCUCUCCCAUCGUGCAAGCAAAGCAGCUUUCACUUUUUUAUUGUUCUCUUUGCUUUGGGCUUCUUUCUCCUAUCUCUCUCUCUCUUUUGUUUCUAGGGUUGUGUGCUUUUUAGUCAUUGAGAUCUGCAU